AUUGUCAAACAUACAAACAUGGUCCGUGCACACGAAUGGACGAUUACAUAUAAGUGGAUACUAAAAAUACAAGGAUCCAGUGCAUAUGGAGUCUAAUAUUCUUGUUAACUUUAAGUAACUAAAGUUGGUAAUGAUAAUCUGAGGGUCCACUUGUUGAACAAUAAUGACUAACGUCGCCUAUAGAGGUGAUCGUCAGGUGGUUUCCUCGUUCGCGGAGCACACGGAGCAGGUUUCUAACGAGGAUAAAGAAAGCCGCGGAGCGUCAUUUUUUACUUCCAGUUGAAAAAAAAAAUAUAUUCGCUGGAUCUGCUGCGCUGUUCUGUAAAGAUUCGCACUAUGUUUGGCAACGCACUUCACUUUUAAUAAUACCAAGUGUAAACUACUCGCAGAUCCGCAAGUGAAAUUCGACUUUGACUUAACAUACCGUUAGCGAAGUAUAUUAACCGACAAAGGCAUACUCAAAUAGAACAAUUCAAUUUGACACAUUUGUAUUACAUUACGCCGACCUCAAGUAAUUGAAAUAAAGGCAGAAAUAUGAUAUGUUUGUAUAAUAAAUACACCCGACGUAUUCGAUGUUAAUGAGAAAGUGUUCCACAAUUUGAAAUGUAUCACUGGACAAAUUUUCUCAAGAAUUAUCGCCGUAAAAUUAUGAAAAUAUAUUUUUUACUUUUAGUCAAUAACCUCAAUAAAUAAUUUCGAACUAGAUAAAAUUAGAUACAUUCUUCCGAUAGAAACGGCAUUAUAUUAAUUGGUUUGCCGUUGCCAUAGAUACAACGUAUCAAAUACAGAGGAACUUACAACCUUUUUUGUAAAUGCAUUCUUUUAUCUCUUUUUAUUGUGUAUGUCUAUCAAUAUCUAAUGUCAUUUGAGUCAAAGAUUUCGGAUCU
Molecule: long non-coding RNA, 887 nt
Organism: Galleria mellonella (greater wax moth)
Lineage: Eukaryota; Metazoa; Arthropoda; Insecta; Lepidoptera; Pyralidae
Exons: 4
Source: RefSeq, a predicted model, not a curated record